Molecule: small nuclear RNA, 97 nt
Filed under: Vicugna pacos (alpaca)
Lineage: Eukaryota; Metazoa; Chordata; Mammalia; Artiodactyla; Camelidae
Source: RNAcentral
GUCUUGUAUGAAAGGAGAGAAGGUUAGCAAGGUCAAGUUCCCCUUGACAUGAAUGGAAGAGGGCCUUAGGCCUGACAACACACACACACACACACAC